This 642-nucleotide ribosomal RNA is filed under the name Naganishia adeliensis. RNAcentral describes it as "eukaryotic LSU rRNA". It matches the Rfam family "Eukaryotic large subunit ribosomal RNA", at positions 38 to 667 of the family's 3401-position model. Lineage: Eukaryota; Fungi; Basidiomycota; Tremellomycetes; Filobasidiales; Filobasidiaceae. The record is from RNAcentral.
GCAUAUCAAUAAGCGGAGGAAAAGAAACUAACAAGGAUUCCCCUAGUAACGGCGAGUGAAGCGGGAAGAGCUCAAAUUUGAAAUCUGGUAGCCUUCGGUUGCCCGAGUUGUAAUCUAGAGAAGUGUUUUCCGUGCCGGCCCAUGUACAAGUCCCUUGGAACAGGGCGUCAUAGAGGGUGAGAAUCCCGUCCUUGACAUGGACCCCCGGUGCUUUGUGAUACACUUUCAACGAGUCGAGUUGUUUGGGAAUGCAGCUCAAAAUGGGUGGUGAAUUCCAUCUAAAGCUAAAUAUUGGCGAGAGACCGAUAGCGAACAAGUACCGUGAGGGAAAGAUGAAAAGCACUUUGGAAAGAGAGUUAAACCGUACGUGAAAUUGUUGAAAGGGAAACGAUUGAAGUCAGUCAUGCUCUUAGGAUUCAGCCGUUCUGCGGUGUAUUUCCUUUGAGUGGGGUCAACAUCAGUUUUGAUCGAUGGAUAAAUGCACGAGGAAGGUAGCACUCUCGGGUGAACUUAUAGCCUCGCGUCAUAUACAUUGAUUGGGACUGAGGAACGCAGCAUGCCUUUAUGGCCGGGAUUCGUCCACGUACAUGCUUAGGAUGUUGACAUAAUGGCUUUAAACGACCCGUCUUUGAAACACGGACC